RNAcentral lists this ribosomal RNA (454 nucleotides) under uncultured bacterium. Its description in RNAcentral is "bacterial SSU rRNA". It matches the Rfam family "Bacterial small subunit ribosomal RNA", at positions 338 to 783 of the family's 1533-position model. The record is from RNAcentral.
CCUACGGGACGCACCAGUGGGGAAUAUUGCGCAAUGGGGGAAACCCUGACGCAGCGACGCCAUGUGAGGGACGAAGGCUUUCGGGUCGUAAACCUCUGUCAGGAGGGAAGAAACUGUUUGAGGCUAAUACCCUCUUUCACUGACGGUACCUCCAGAGGAAGCACCGGCUAACUCCGUGCCAGCAGCCGCGGUAAUACGGAGGGUGCGAGCGUUAAUCGGAAUCACUGGGCGUAAAGCGCGCGUAGGCGGCGCGAUAAGUCAGGCGUGAAAGCCCUCGGCUCAACCGGGGAAUUGCGCUUGAGACUGUCGUGCUUGAGUCUCGGAGAGGGUGGCGGAAUUCCAGGUGUAGGAGUGAAAUCCGUAGAGAUCGGGAGGAACACCGGUGGCGAAGGCGGACACCUGGACGGACACUGACGCUGAGGUGCGAAAGCGUGGGUAGCAAACAGGAUUAGAU